UGGAGGAGUAGCGAAGUGGCUAAACGCGACGGACUGUAAAUCCGUUCCUUAGGGUUCAGUGGUUCGAAUCCACUCUCCUCCA
RNAcentral lists this transfer RNA (82 nucleotides) under Enterococcus faecium E1679. RNAcentral describes it as "tRNA-Tyr". It matches the Rfam family "tRNA". From Rfam's summary of the family: Transfer RNA (tRNA) molecules are approximately 80 nucleotides in length. Their secondary structure includes four short double-helical elements and three loops (D, anti-codon, and T loops). Further hydrogen bonds mediate the characteristic L-shaped molecular structure. tRNAs have two regions of fundamental functional importance: the anti-codon, which is responsible for specific mRNA codon recognition, and the 3' end, to which the tRNAs corresponding amino acid is attached (by aminoacyl-tRNA synthetases). tRNAs cope with the degeneracy of the genetic code in two manners: having more than one tRNA (with a specific anti-codon) for a particular amino acid; and 'wobble' base-pairing, i.e. permitting non-standard base-pairing at the 3rd anti-codon position. RNAcentral also lists the same sequence under 1 other name. Lineage: Bacteria; Bacillati; Bacillota; Bacilli; Lactobacillales; Enterococcaceae. The record is from RNAcentral.